RNAcentral lists this non-coding RNA (26 nucleotides) under Mus musculus (house mouse). The record is from RNAcentral. Lineage: Eukaryota; Metazoa; Chordata; Mammalia; Rodentia; Muridae.
UGUAAAGCUGAAUUGCGAAUGUGUGU